CAGCAGCCGCGGUAAUACGUAGGGUGCAAGCGUUAAUCGGAAUUACUGGGCGUAAAGCGUGCGCAGGCGGUCCGCUAAGACAGAUGUGAAAUCCCCGGGCUUAACCUGGGAACUGCAUUUGUGACUGGCGGGCUAGAGUAUGGCAGAGGGGGGUAGAAUUCCACGUGUAGCAGUGAAAUGCGUAGAGAUGUGGAGGAAUACCGAUGGCGAAGGCAGCCCCCUGGGCCAAUACUGACGCUCAUGCACGAAAGCGUGGGGAGCAAACAGGAUUAGAUACCCGUGUAGUCCCUGUCUCUUAUAA
Molecule: ribosomal RNA, 301 nt
Filed under: uncultured bacterium
Lineage: Bacteria
Description: partial 16S ribosomal RNA
Rfam family: Bacterial small subunit ribosomal RNA
Source: RNAcentral